Long non-coding RNA from Ceratitis capitata (Mediterranean fruit fly), 786 nucleotides. RefSeq lists it as uncharacterized. Lineage: Eukaryota; Metazoa; Arthropoda; Insecta; Diptera; Tephritidae. The transcript is spliced from 4 exons. The record is from RefSeq and is a predicted model, not a curated record.
UUCAAAUCGUCACCAUCAAUAACGACAAUACUGGAGCCAGAACGACGCCGUGGCCUGGAAUGUAAAAGAGAAGAGAAGAAAGUGGCGCAGUAGCCCAGCGAGUGAAGAAAAUGAAAUAAAUUACUGUAGAGUUAGUUGGACCAGCGAUUAAGAAAUUUUUGAUGUUUACAAUUAGUAAAAAAAUUCAAUUAAACCGAAAAAUGUAAAAUUACGAGAAAUAUGAAAUCGAGAGACUGAAAAAAGCUUUACAAAAGCUUAUCGGAGCUUUAAACAGACUUAAAGAGGUCAAAAAUUUCUACAAGCUCUGAAAUAUAAGAGAAGACUUCAAAAAAGCGAUUUCAACAAAUAUCUAUCUGAUAAGACUACUAAAGAGCCUCCAACGACUAGCACAGAUUCACAGAGGCUUUAGAAAUGCUUGAGAUGACGACGAAAUGAUGAUCAGCACAGUUCCUAAUACAAAUAACAGGCUCACAGAUCAAAGGAAACUAAAAUAUUAGGAGAGUAGUAAAAAUAAGUUUAAAAAGCACAAAAGCUUUCGGGCUGCAUAAAGAAGAGGAGAUUAUCUCUGCAAUAAAGCUCCCAAUGGGCUAAAUCAACUCUUAAAAUCUUGCGGGAUGGCUGUAAAGUGAUUAAAAGCCCAUCAAAAAGAAACUAAAAACUUGAAAUAUUAGAAUUUAACCUGCAACAAAACUUUUAAAUAUAAAUGUUAAUAGAUUUAAUGAAGGAACCGCAGUUACCGCUUUAAUAAAGCUCUGACAGAGACAUUCAAGCGUUAGAAAUAGAAAG